RNAcentral lists this ribosomal RNA (253 nucleotides) under uncultured bacterium. Its description in RNAcentral is "partial 16S ribosomal RNA". It matches the Rfam family "Bacterial small subunit ribosomal RNA", at positions 524 to 776 of the family's 1533-position model. The record is from RNAcentral.
GACGUAGGGCGCGAGCGUUGUCCGGAUUUAUUGGGCGUAAAGAGCUCGUAGGCGGCUUGUCGCGUCGACCGUGAAAACUUGGGGCUCAACCCCAGGCUUGCGGUCGAUACGGGCAGGCUAGAGUUCGGUAGGGGAGACUGGAAUUCCUGGUGUAGCGGUGAAAUGCGCAGAUAUCAGGAGGAACACCGAUGGCGAAGGCAGGUCUCUGGGCCGAUACUGACGCUGAGGAGCGAAAGCGUGGGGAGCGAACGGG